GAGGGUACAGCUUAGUGGUAAAGUGCAUGCUUAGCAUGCAUAAGGUCCUGCGUUCAAUCCUCAGUACCUCCA
RNAcentral lists this transfer RNA (72 nucleotides) under Camelus bactrianus (Bactrian camel). It matches the Rfam family "tRNA". Rfam says of the family: Transfer RNA (tRNA) molecules are approximately 80 nucleotides in length. Their secondary structure includes four short double-helical elements and three loops (D, anti-codon, and T loops). The record is from Rfam by way of RNAcentral. Lineage: Eukaryota; Metazoa; Chordata; Mammalia; Artiodactyla; Camelidae. RNAcentral also lists the same sequence under 2 other names.